UAAGUACUCCCUCUGUCCCAAAAUUCUUGUCUUAAAUUUGUCUAGAUAAAUUUAAGACAAGAAUUUUGGGACGGAGGGAGUACCAC
Non-coding RNA from Hordeum vulgare subsp. vulgare (domesticated barley), 86 nucleotides. The record is from Rfam. NCBI's taxonomy places the organism in Eukaryota, Viridiplantae, Streptophyta, Magnoliopsida, Poales, Poaceae.